GCAAGACAUGAAGCAAGUGAACAAGUGGAAGAGUUUUGAACAAAAAGAGAGAUAACAUAACAUCACUGACUUUGGGUUACAGAGAAGAAAAUAAUUUUAAGUUUAUUAAAAAUAAAUAAAUAAAAGAGAUGGGAUAGAUGGUUGACUCAGAAAAUACUGGAUGUAUGUACAUGAGCAUGAGAUACAUGAUUUUGCAUAAUAUAUAAUAAUAGUAAUAAUAAUCACCUAAAUCCAAGCAACCACUACCUAACAACAUGCCCAUCCAUCAAUCCAUGGUCAUCAUCCACACCACACACAGUGCAAUAAUAUCUUUUUAUUUAUUAAUUUAUUUAUUUAUGAUAUGGAUUUUUGUGCUGCUUCUUUCAUGUGCCUAUCUCAUUAUUUAAUCAUAGACAUCUCACCAAACUUUGUCAACUUUUCCUACCCGCUACAUUUUUGCUAUUUUGCGCACGGUGCUAUGUCCUCCACCCGUCCUUUUCAGGGUUUGGUACCCUAAGGCCCAUCCAUGGCCCACCCAUGGCCCAAACCAAUUAAAACACCUGCUCCACCCCAAGACCUAACCAACCACCAAUCAAUAACCCUUACUCCUUUGCAAUAAAGGCAUUUUCACUUUUAACAACACAACACAACCUUUUAUUUUUCCAACCAUCACCUUAUUAUUAUUAUUAUUAUUAUUACUAUUAUAUCUGAGUCUCUACCAGCCAACCAUUAAACACACAGAAAUUAAUAAGCAUCGAUCUCUUUUUCAACCCUCACAUACCAAACUAUUACAAAGAACACAAAAACAUGCAUCUCAUCUCAUACUUCUAACACUGUUUGAAACUGCAGCUUUCUCUUGCAUUUAUUAUUUGUGACUGAAGAAGCAGGAGAAGGGUUGGGAUGUUCCUUUCUGUUCCUGAUCAGAGGCCAGCUUUCUUCAUUGCAUCAGAUAUCUUGGACACCCUUCAUUUCUUUCUUCGGUAAAACAAGAUAAAACCAAUGCACUGGUAGUAUUAUUAUUAUUUAUUGAAGAAAAAAGAAAAUGGUAGCAACCACCAAGUGCCAGAAGCUGAAGCAGAGAUCCAAUUCUAUCUAGAGUUGUAGGGUAUAGGCCAUUAGGUCUCUUACCCUCCUGCUCCUAGUAAUGCCUCUGUCCCAUGCAUGUCUUCAAAAUUAAAACAAGAUAGCAAUUGCCUCUUCUCUUCAUGCACCGCCAAAAUCCAACUCCUCUCACUUUUCUUCUGCUUAUCUUAUCCGAAUCAACUCACAAAAUCAAGAUUAUACCCAUCAUUUAUGCCUAUCUUACACUGCAACUUUGUCUUCUAUUACUAUCAUUCUGUGAUGAUCGAUCAAGUUAUUAGUCCUCACGGACCCAACUCACUCGAAUACAGUCAGAUCUUGAAAAAGGAAUUAUCAAGAAGACCGGGGAUUGUCGUUUACUAAUUAUUAUUGUUGUUUCUGACUGGUGACUGUGAAAGAACGAAACUUUGAUGCAAUUCAUAAUAAUUAAGAUUGGAUUUGGAUUCUUAGUAUCUGUUUACCUAAAAGUAUAAGGAAAUAUUAACUUUCAAACCACCACCUCGGAUGAUUUCGUCGUAUAAAAUGAAUGAAACAUAAGCUGAGCUAAUAUGAUUGGUGAUGCACUUUAUAUAAUUAAUCCU
RNAcentral lists this long non-coding RNA (1640 nucleotides) under Vigna radiata. Its description in RNAcentral is "long non-coding RNA (VRAD_LNC001435)". The record is from RNAcentral. Lineage: Eukaryota; Viridiplantae; Streptophyta; Magnoliopsida; Fabales; Fabaceae.